CAAGCAGCAUUGCUCGUAGCCACGUCGUGUCUAGUCUCCAAUCCCCCUCCACAUCAACAUGAAGUGCUUCAGCCUGAUGGUAGUGGUGUUGGCCGUACUGGCCAUGAUCAUGGGCGGAUCUCAAGCCGCGCCGGAGCCGCAACCAGCGGGGGCCAAGGGACUACUGAAGGGCGCUAAAACCGCCAUAGGAGUGAUUGGAGCCAUAGGCACCGGCAAGGAGAUCAUCGACCGCGUCAGGAACAGGCACGGAUGAAAAGUCAUCGCAAUUUAUGAAAUAAUUUUAUUGCAACAACCAAAAGUUAGUUACUAAGUGUUAAAUAAACACGUUUAAUAAACUUA
Pectinophora gossypiella (pink bollworm) is the source of this 339-nucleotide long non-coding RNA. RefSeq lists it as uncharacterized. The transcript has 2 exons. NCBI's taxonomy places the organism in Eukaryota, Metazoa, Arthropoda, Insecta, Lepidoptera, Gelechiidae. The record is from RefSeq and is a predicted model, not a curated record.